UUGUAAUCACCCUUAACUUAUGUUUUUGGCCUAAGUUGUGACAUCGUAUCUUCGGAGACCCAAGGAUAUAAUAUCAAGCGGUAAGAACAAAGUUAGUUUCCAGGCUCAAAUUAGGUUCAAAUGGUAUGCUUUUUAUUUGGUUGUCUAUUUUGGGCUUUUAGUGGGCUUAGCAAAAACAGCUUACUGAUCCUUUCCUAUCCAGUUAUUCUCA
Molecule: long non-coding RNA, 211 nt
Filed under: Solanum tuberosum (potato)
Lineage: Eukaryota; Viridiplantae; Streptophyta; Magnoliopsida; Solanales; Solanaceae
Description: long non-coding RNA (STUB_LNC001679)
Source: RNAcentral